This is a long non-coding RNA of Myotis lucifugus (little brown bat), 1033 nucleotides long. RefSeq lists it as uncharacterized. Lineage: Eukaryota; Metazoa; Chordata; Mammalia; Chiroptera; Vespertilionidae. The transcript is spliced from 3 exons. The record is from RefSeq and is a predicted model, not a curated record.
GAAAUAGGCAAGUGGAAGGCACAGGUCUCCGCGGCGCUUAGAGAGGAAAGGAGGGUUAAAUGCAGAGACCACCAAUCAGAACUAGAACCCUCUAGUCCAGUCGCCCAAUGAGAAGGAGGAUCUUCUGUAGGCCGGACGACCACGCGGCUGGGCUCUAAACUCACCGUGCUCCACGUAAGUGAUAAAUGCCAGGGACAGCAGCACCGCAGCCAGAUGGAAGCUGAAGCCCUGGUGGGGCCCCAGGGGGCAAUGAGUCUCUCCAAGUUCAGCCAAUGUCAAUCAACUCCAUCGUUCCAGUUCCUCAGGGCAAAAACCUGAGAAUCAUCCUGCAUCUGCCCUCCCCGCACUCCCACAACCAAACUCAGCAAAUCCUGUCAGUUUCACCAUCAGAAUUUACCCGGAAUCUGACCUCUCCUCGCCAUGUCCACUGCCUCCACCACCUGCACUACUGCAGGGGCCUCCUCACUGCUUCCACCUGGCUCCCUCCCCAUCUGUCCUCACAGCAGCCAGAGGGUCCUGUUACAACCCGUGAGCCCAAAGCCCUCCUCUGCUCAGACCCCUGUUGUGGCUCCAGCUCUCUCAGAGAAAAGGCCAAAGUCCUCCCUGUGGCCAGUGAGGGCCCACAGGACCAGGCCCCGUCACCUCUCCAACCUCACCUCCUGCUACUGGCCCUCUCGCUCUCUUUCCUUCUGCUGACCCAGUCUCCUCAGACAUGCCAUGCUCAUUCCUGUCUCAGGACCUUUGCACUGGCUGUUCUCUCCAUCUGUUACACUCCUCCCCCACAUAUUUACAGUGCUUGCUCUCUCACCUUAUUUAGAUCUCAGCUCAAAUGUCACCUCCUCCGUGGGACUUAUUCUGUUAAUUUACUUAAAAUUGCGACAUCCCACCCACACUGCCAACACUCCAGAUCAUCCUUUCCUGCUUUAUUAUUAUUAUUUUUCACCAUAGCACUCAUCGCCAUCUGAACUCUUGUGUAUUUUUCUCUCUUUUAAAAUAAUAUUUUUAUUGAUUUCAGAGAGGAAGGGAGAGGGAG